This 645-nucleotide ribosomal RNA is filed under the name uncultured bacterium. RNAcentral's name for it is "bacterial SSU rRNA". It matches the Rfam family "Bacterial small subunit ribosomal RNA", at positions 28 to 682 of the family's 1533-position model. The record is from RNAcentral.
GACGAACGCUGGCGGCGUGCUUAACACAUGCAAGUCGAACGAUGAAGCCCAGCUUGCUGGGUGGAUUAGUGGCGAACGGGUGAGUAACACGUGAGUAACCUACCCUUGACUCUGGGAUAAGCGCUGGAAACGGCGUCUAAUACCGGAUACGACCUGCCCCGGCAUCGGGUGCGGGUGGAAAGUUUUUCGGUCAAGGAUGGACUCGCGGCCUAUCAGCUAGUUGGUGAGGUAAUGGCUCACCAAGGCGACGACGGGUAGCCGGCCUGAGAGGGUGACCGGCCACACUGGGACUGAGACACGGCCCAGACUCCUACGGGAGGCAGCAGUGGGGAAUAUUGCACAAUGGGCGAAAGCCUGAUGCAGCAACGCCGCGUGGGGGAUGACGGCCUUCGGGUUGUAAACCUCUUUUAGUAGGGAAGAAGGGCUUCGGCUUGACGGUACCUGCAGAAAAAGCACCGGCUAACUACGUGCCAGCAGCCGCGGUAAUACGUAGGGUGCAAGCGUUGUCCGGAAUUAUUGGGCGUAAAGAGCUCGUAGGCGGUUUGUCGCGUCUGCUGUGAAAACCCGAGGCUCAACCUCGGGCCUGCAGUGGGUACGGGCAGACUAGAGUGCGGUAGGGGAGAAUGGAAUUCCUGGUGUAGCGGU